This is a long non-coding RNA of Populus trichocarpa (black cottonwood), 498 nucleotides long. RefSeq lists it as uncharacterized. The transcript is spliced from 2 exons. Lineage: Eukaryota; Viridiplantae; Streptophyta; Magnoliopsida; Malpighiales; Salicaceae. The record is from RefSeq and is a predicted model, not a curated record.
UUGCUUCACGACCUUUUCCCAGAUGGAAGUCAUCUCCUUCCUCGUCUAAAAUGUCUGUAUAUGACCACUACACAGACAGCCUGGUCUCUGUGAGAAAAGAAAAGAAAUUGACAAGGAUGGCCAGCUUCGUGAAUUUACGAAACAGGUGGUAAUGCCAGGACAACAAACAACAUUGUCUGAGGGCUUGAGGCCAGCGAUGAUGAACAAUGGCCAAGUGCCCAAAGAGAAAGAAUUCAGCAGAGCAUAUAAACACGAUCUGAGCUCACCUCCACACCAAAAAUCCUUCGCGAGGAUCUCCCUGGAAAACCUCGGAGGCUCUAAGAUGUAUAUUCUUCCCAGGUCAAGUCAGCUCCGGCACUAGCCAGUCCACCAGCACAAGAGUUGGCUUUCGCAUAGGUGAAUGACGAGUUAAGAUAGCAAUUGUGUCAAUAUUCCUGUACUCAUCCGGUUAGAUCCAUUUCAUAGCCAACUAACUUAAAAACUUGCUUAAUUAACGCA